CAAAAGUGACGAGAAAUUUCCUCUGUGGCAAUCCAUACGGAGGAGGGUUAGAGCUCGGCGACGGCCACCGGAUUACCGUCUACUUCUCAAGGCUCUCUCUCUCUCGAGUGAGAGGCACUCGUGGCAGUGAUGCUCAUCUGUCCCCUUCACUGCAGAAAAAGGGUGUGGUGUUGUAGCAAGGGAGGGUUGCUCACACUUACAAAUCACCUUCAAUUGAAUUGACUUCGCAAUCUCCACUUUGCUUUACGUCAAGGGAAACUGCAUGCCCCUUCACUACCCACAAUCAUUGCUACUAUUUCAAAAAUAUAAAGUUUUAUGUAGACGAAAAGG
Salvia splendens (bonfire salvia) is the source of this 330-nucleotide long non-coding RNA. RefSeq lists it as uncharacterized. The transcript is spliced from 3 exons. The record is from RefSeq and is a predicted model, not a curated record. Lineage: Eukaryota; Viridiplantae; Streptophyta; Magnoliopsida; Lamiales; Lamiaceae.